UAGGGAAUCUUCGGCAAUGGGGGGAACCCUGACCGAGCAACGCCGCGUGAGUGAAGAAGGUUUUCGGAUCGUAAAGCUCUGUUGUUAAGGAAGAACGAGUGUGAGAAUGGAAAGUUCAUACUGUGACGGUACUUAACCAGAAAGGGACGGCUAACUAAGUGCCAGCAGCCGCGGUAAUACGUAGGUCCCGAGCGUUGUCCGGAUUUAUUGGGCGUAAAGCGAGCGCAGGCGGUUAGAUAAGUCUGAAGUUAAAGGCAGUGGCUCAACCAUUGUAGGCUUUGGAAACUGUUUAACUUGAGUGCAGAAGGGGAGAGUGGAAUUCCAUGUGUAGCGGUGAAAUGCGUAGAUAUAUGGAGGAACACCGGUGGCGAAAGCGGCUCUCUGGUCUGUAACUGACGCUGAGGCUCGAAAGCGUGGGGAGCGAACAGG
Molecule: ribosomal RNA, 429 nt
Filed under: Bacteroidota bacterium
Lineage: Bacteria; Pseudomonadati; Bacteroidota
Description: Bacteroidetes bacterium partial 16S ribosomal RNA
Rfam family: Bacterial small subunit ribosomal RNA
Source: RNAcentral